Molecule: non-coding RNA, 22 nt
Filed under: Arabidopsis thaliana (thale cress)
Lineage: Eukaryota; Viridiplantae; Streptophyta; Magnoliopsida; Brassicales; Brassicaceae
Source: RNAcentral
UAGCCAACGACACGUGCCUUUG